AACGCACAUUGCGCCCGCCGGCAUUCCGGCGGGCAUGCCUGUCCGAGCGUCACUACACCCCUCGAGCCGCAGCGCUCGGUUCUGGGGCGCGCGGUGCCCCCUUCAGGGCGCCGCGGCCCCUAAAAGCAUCGGCGGCAGCACCGGUAACACCCUCUGCGCAGUAACACGCUCGCACCGGGAAACGGCGCCGCCGCCCUAAGCAUGCCCGCCACCCCCGCCCCCGGCGGGGAGCGGCCACCAAGGUUGACCUCGGAUCAGGUAGGGAUACCCGCUGAACUUAA
This 281-nucleotide unclassified non-coding RNA is filed under the name uncultured fungus. Its description in RNAcentral is "partial contains 5.8S ribosomal RNA, internal transcribed spacer 2, and large subunit ribosomal RNA". Lineage: Eukaryota; Fungi. The record is from RNAcentral.